This 252-nucleotide ribosomal RNA is filed under the name uncultured bacterium. Its description in RNAcentral is "partial 16S ribosomal RNA". It matches the Rfam family "Bacterial small subunit ribosomal RNA", at positions 524 to 776 of the family's 1533-position model. The record is from RNAcentral.
UACAGAGGUCCCAAGCGUUGUUCGGAUUUACUGGGCGUAAAGGGUGCGUAGGUGGCGGGGUAAGUCUGGUGUGAAAUCUCCGAGCUCAACUCGGAAAAGCAUUGGAAACUAUCCCGCUAGAGGGUCGGAGGGGAGACUGGAAUUCUCGGUGUAGCAGUGAAAUGCGUAGAUAUCAAGAGGAACACCUGCGGCGAAGGCGGGUUGCUGGGCCGACACUGACGCUGAUGCGCGAAAGCUAGGGGAGCGAACGGG